Phyllopteryx taeniolatus (common seadragon) is the source of this 522-nucleotide long non-coding RNA. RefSeq lists it as uncharacterized. The record is from RefSeq and is a predicted model, not a curated record. The transcript is spliced from 2 exons. Lineage: Eukaryota; Metazoa; Chordata; Actinopteri; Syngnathiformes; Syngnathidae.
CCGGAGUCGAUGUCGUUAGCAACUACUCGAUCGGCACCACACAAUUUCGCAGCGAUGGCCGAAGCUCCACAGCCGCUUCCCACAUCCAAGACGGACUUCCCCAAACAUAUUCUCGGAUGGUCCAGGAGAUACCUGCAGGAAGCUUAGCCGUACCAGCGGCUUGAAAAGUGACAUGACUCAGCGAGAAAUGCCAUUGGUUUGCGCAACCCUCAAGCUGCCUGCCAAUGAGAAGUGCUACUGCUGCCCACAUGAUCCACAUGACUUCCAGUUAACUAUUGUGGAUCACUGGAGGGAAUCUUUUCAUCUCAUGCGUUUGCGUCAACUAGGACAAGAUCAGGAAAACAACUUGAGUCCAAAAGCAUGUGCAGCAUUUUCCUCUUUUGAUUCAUGACCCGUGUUUGUGUUGAUGAUUUGUUUUAAUUCUUUCACAGCUUUUGUUUUUUUGUUGUUGUGAGUUUUCUCUUCUUUGCUUUAGUACACUUUUCCAAGUCCAGUAAUGUUGAAAUAAACACCUUGGCCUUA